AAGAGAUGAGUACAACUCUUUGCCAGCCACUAUGGAAGAAAGCCAAGAGAAAAACGGCAGUUCCUGCUUUCAAAGAGCUUACUGGCUGGUGGCUGGAAGGAGACGAGUACAAAGAUUGAUAAGUUCUCUGACACAGGCACUCCCUUGCACUGCUCACUUAUCUAAUUAUGUCUGCUUAGAAGUUUCUGUGAUUGAAUCUUGAGACAAUCCAGGUACCUAUGCAAUUUUCUCCCAACAAGAGAUUAUGUGAGUGUACAGUUAAUUUACAACCUAUAUAUGCUCAAGAUAAUGCUAGCCCAUUUACCAGAUUGGACAAUAGCACAUAAUAAAGCACUGAAGCAAGUUACGUGGUCCUGUACCUCCUUGCCCCUCCUGCACAUCCUUCAUACCAAAUUUCACUUUUAACUUGUUGUAUUCUGGCCAAAAAUUUGAAAUGGUUUCUUU
Molecule: long non-coding RNA, 444 nt
Filed under: Homo sapiens (human)
Lineage: Eukaryota; Metazoa; Chordata; Mammalia; Primates; Hominidae
Description: HSALNT0041250
Source: RNAcentral